RNAcentral lists this ribosomal RNA (849 nucleotides) under Dendrobium macrophyllum. Its description in RNAcentral is "eukaryotic LSU rRNA". The stretch from base 359 to 514 matches the Rfam family "5.8S ribosomal RNA". The record is from RNAcentral. Lineage: Eukaryota; Viridiplantae; Streptophyta; Magnoliopsida; Asparagales; Orchidaceae.
GAUCGCUGUGAUGCGGGCGGUUCGCCGCCCGUGACUCUGCGAGAAGUCCAUUGAACCUUAUCAUUUAGAGGAAGGAGAAGUCGUAACAAGGUUUCCGUAGGUGAACCUGCGGAAGGAUCAUUGUCGAGACCGGAAUAUAUCGAGCGAUUCGGAGAACCCGUAAGAUACACGGUGGCCAUUGCCACCGUAAAAUAAAAAGCCAUCCCAGUUGCUGCCUCAUCCCCUUCGGGGCGGGGCACGAUGAAGGAUGGAUGAACACCCAAACCGGCGCAGCAUCGCGCCAAGGGAAUAUCGAAACACGGGCCCUUCAUCGGGCUUGGUGGCGCGGGGUGCUGUGGCACGCCGCAUGGAUUGACACGACUCUCGGCAAUGGAUAUCUCGGCUCUCGCAUCGAUGAAGAGCGCAGCGAAAUGCGAUACGUGGUGCGAAUUGCAGAAUCCCGCGAACCAUCGAGUCUUUGAACGCAAGUUGCGCCCGAGGCCAACCGGCCGAGGGCGCGUCCGCCUGGGCGUCAAGCGUUGCAUCGCUCCGUGCCAACCCCGUCCCAUCCAUCAGUGGGUGGGCGGGCGGAGGGUCGGAUGCGGAGAGUGGCUCGUCGUGCCCAUGGGCGCGGCGGGCUGAAGAGCGGGUUAUCAUCUCGUUGGCCGCGAACAACAAGGGGUGGAUGAAAGCAAGGCCCGCGUUGUUGUAUCGUGCUGGCCGGAGAGAGGAUUACGCUUCUCAGGUGAUCCCAAACCAUGCGUCGAUCCACGGACGGCGGCUUGGAAUGCGACCCCAGGAUGGGCGAGGCCACCCGCCGAGUUUAAGCAUAUCAAUAAGCGGAGGAGAAGAAACUUACGAGGAUUCCCC